ACCAAUUAUACACCUCAAAUUCAUUUUUUUAAUCAGUCUUGCAUCUCUUCACAUUGGCAGACGUGCGCGAAUUACAGUGGCAAUGACUGGGAUAGCUUUAGUGAAAAUGGGGCCUAUUUUAAUUGACUGAUAAUGUUAGCUAAACAAUCCUAGUCAACUUUAAAGACUCAACUUUUGCAAAUCUCCAGCAACAGCUCUCCUUUUCCAAGAUUAGUAUAGUCCCUUCGGUUCAUCUGCUUCCGAAGAUGAAACCGAUGAGGCAUGGUCACGCUCCACAAACAACUUUCUCAAUAGCAGCAGGAGAGACGAUUCUUUCGAGUUUUUAGCUUGGGAAAUGCCAUCAACGUCAAAUAAGAGAUCUCUAUUGAAUAAAGGAAAAAGCAGCUAAAUUUAUCUAUUUUGAAAUGCAUCAUCAGCAGAAAUAGAGAAUUAGUCUCAAAUUCAAGAUAUGAAGAGUCCGAAUAUGGUGCUUUGCUUUUUUCCUGGGAGCUAAUUUUUGCUACUCAAGCAGUGCAAUAACUUUGUUAGAAUUCUUUCUUGCAAUAACUCUCGUGCAGGCCAAACUCGCCUGCAUUUCUUGCAAUAACUCACCUGCAUUUCUUCCUCAAAAACAUAAACUAUUUGGAGAAAAUGAUAUUUGCUUUGGUCUUACAAAGAGACUGAAAGAGAAUUAAUGGUGAGGAAGACUUGUGAUGGUUGUUGGAUAAAGACAAGUAGGAAGUUGGGCCAAAAUGUGGUUGGAGGAGGUUCCGUGGGUAUGGUUGUCCAACAGGAGAUAAAAAAAGGUACUGAUAAUUUGCAAAGUGUUGUUGAAAGGAUAGCCGCUAAGAGCCAAACUGGACAAAAUUUAUCCACUUUGGCCUUCAUAAAUUUAAUUAACCCUUCUAUUGGCGAUUGUAUUCAUGCUCUCAUCUGCUAGAGUGGAAAGGUGCAAGACUGAUGCAAAAAAAAUGGACUGGAGGUGCAUCAUUGGACCCCCGCAAAGUUAAAGGUGUUGUAGAGUUAUUUUUUCAAAGUUGAGAUGCAAAUUUAUAUAUUUAGCCAAAAAGAUGCUCUAUUGAAAAGUGGUUUGAUUUUCAAAUGGUAGAUGGAAAAGGUGUUUCUGAU
Molecule: non-coding RNA, 1107 nt
Organism: Jatropha curcas
Lineage: Eukaryota; Viridiplantae; Streptophyta; Magnoliopsida; Malpighiales; Euphorbiaceae
Source: RefSeq, a predicted model, not a curated record